RNAcentral lists this ribosomal RNA (388 nucleotides) under uncultured bacterium. RNAcentral describes it as "bacterial SSU rRNA". It matches the Rfam family "Bacterial small subunit ribosomal RNA", at positions 28 to 417 of the family's 1533-position model. The record is from RNAcentral.
GACGAACGCUGGCGGCGUGCUUAACACAUGCAAGUCGAGCGGUAAGGCCCUUUCGGGGGUACGACGAGCGGCGAACGGGUGAGUAACACGUGGGUGACCUGCCCUCAGCUCUGGGAUAAGCCUGGGAAACCGGGUCUAAUACUGGAUAUGACUCCAUGACGCAUGUUGUGGGGUGGAAAGCCUUGUGCGGCUGAGGAUGGGCCCGCGGCCUAUCAGCUUGUUGGUGGGGUGAGGCCUACCAAGGCGACGACGGGUAGCCGGCCUGAGAGGGCGACCGGCCACACUGGGACUGAGACACGGCCCAGACUCCUACGGGAGGCAGCAGUGGGGAAUUUUGGACAAUGGGCGCAAGCCUGAUCCAGCCAUGCCGCGUGCGGGAAGAAGGCCU